UACGGGGGGGGUAAGCGUUGUUCGGAAUUACUGGGCGUAAAGGGCUCGUAGGCGGCCAACUAAGUCAUACGUGAAAUCCCUCAGCUUAACUGGGGAACUGCGUGUGAUACUGGAUGGCUUGGAUUUGGGAGAGGGAUGCGGAAUUCCAGGUGUAGCGGUGAAAUGCGUAGAUAUCGGGAGGAACACCGGUGGCGAAGGCGGCCUUCUGGACGGAUACUGACGCUGAUACGCGAAAGCGUGGGGAGCAAACAGG
RNAcentral lists this ribosomal RNA (253 nucleotides) under uncultured bacterium. Its description in RNAcentral is "partial 16S ribosomal RNA". It matches the Rfam family "Bacterial small subunit ribosomal RNA", at positions 524 to 776 of the family's 1533-position model. The record is from RNAcentral.